This 501-nucleotide ribosomal RNA is filed under the name uncultured bacterium. RNAcentral's name for it is "partial 16S ribosomal RNA". It matches the Rfam family "Bacterial small subunit ribosomal RNA", at positions 30 to 523 of the family's 1533-position model. The record is from RNAcentral.
AUUGAACGCUGGCGGCAGGCUUAACACAUGCAAGUCGAGCGGAGAUGAGGUGCUUGCACCUUAUCUUAGCGGCGGACGGGUGAGUAAUGCUUAAGAAUCUGCCUAUUAGUGGGGGACAACAUUCCGAAAGGAAUGCUAAUACCGCAUACGUCCGACGGGAGAAAGCAGGGGAUCUUCGGACCUUGCGCUAAUAGAUGAGACUAAGUCGGAUGAGCUAGUUGGGGGGGUAAAGGCCUACCCAGGCGACGAUCUGGAGCGGGUAUGAGAGGGUGAUCCGCCACACUGGAACUGGGACACGGCCCAGACUCCUACGGGAGGCAGCAGUGGGGAAUAUUGGACAAUGGGGGAAACCCUGAUCCAGCCAUGCCGCGUGUGUGAAGAAGGCCUUAUGGUUGUAAAGCACUUUAAGCGAGGAGGAGGCUACUGAGACUAAUACUCUUGGAUAGUGGACGUUACUCGCAGAAUAAGCACCGGCUAACUCUGUGCCAGCAGCCGCCGUAA